UAGGAGGCCGAUUGAUGGACUUGCUGAUGG
RNAcentral lists this non-coding RNA (30 nucleotides) under Rattus norvegicus (Norway rat). The record is from RNAcentral. Lineage: Eukaryota; Metazoa; Chordata; Mammalia; Rodentia; Muridae.